GACGUGCUAAUCUGCGAUAAGCGUCGGUAAGGUGAUAUGAACCGUUAUAACCGGCGAUUUCCGAAUGGGGAAACCCAGUGUGAUUCGUCACACUAUCAUUAACUGAAUCCAUAGGUUAAUGAGGCGAACCGGGGGAACUGAAACAUCUAAGUACCCCGAGGAAAAGAAAUCAACCGAGAUUCCCCCAGUAGCGGCGAGCGAACGGGGAGCAGCCCAGAGCCUGAAUCAGUGUGUGUGUUAGUGGAAGCGUCUGGAAAGGCGUGCGAUACAGGGUGACAGCCCCGUACACAAAAAUGCACAUACUGUGAGCUCGAUGAGUAGGGCGGGACACGUGGUAUCCUGUCUGAAUAUGGGGGGACCAUCCUCCAAGGCUAAAUACUCCUGACUGACCGAUAGUGAACCAGUACCGUGAGGGAAAGGCGAAAAGAACCCCGGCGAGGGGAGUGAAAAAGAACCUGAAACCGUGUACGUACAAG
This 476-nucleotide ribosomal RNA is filed under the name Escherichia coli. RNAcentral's name for it is "partial 23S ribosomal RNA". It matches the Rfam family "Bacterial large subunit ribosomal RNA", at positions 55 to 570 of the family's 2925-position model. RNAcentral also lists the same sequence under 1 other name. The record is from RNAcentral. Lineage: Bacteria; Pseudomonadati; Pseudomonadota; Gammaproteobacteria; Enterobacterales; Enterobacteriaceae.